UCUCAGAAGAGAUGCUCUCUGCUCCCCUGCCAGUGGAAUUGUCUCCCUUUGGAGUAGUUGAGAGGUGACAGAGGCUGCUGUGAGUGUCUAGACCAAAGUCUCCCUGUGAAGCCACGUGACAACUCCACUGCUCCCCAGAGCUGCACACGGUCUCUCAGAAGCCUUGGAGGGGUUGGGGGAGGCCCCUGCUCUCAAGCCCCCACUAUCACAAUCACUUUGUCCAAGCUAUUCCCCUGCGACCUUGCCUGACCUGCAGAAGCUGCCGAGUGGCCCACUCUUCCUGGGCAUGUCAGAAAAACUUUGACGUGGCUGCUCUGGCUUCAGGCAAGGUCUAAUUUGGUGAAAAUUUGAAAGCAGGUUUGUGGGGGUGCCAGGGAGAAAUGGGGAGAGAGAAAGCCGCUGCAUUUGAUGGAUGGCAAUGGCUUGGAGCUGGUGUGAUGGCCUCUCUGGAUGACAAGGACAUUGGAGUUAGAGCCAGAAGGACUGAGGUAUGAAUCUCGGCAUUCCUGGUUUGUAGUUAUGGGGACUUGGCACAGACACUUGAAUGAAACUUCCUUUGCCCAGCUAUAAGACGGACCCCCUAAAAAAGGUUGACUUUGUUCUGAUCCUUCACUGCCUGCUGGGAUGUUCUCAGCAUUUUGUGCAUGUUGGCCAAUUUAACCCUAACAGCAACCACCAGAGGCAGAUGCUAUUGCUGGCUAUUAAUAUCCCCACGUGACAGAUGAGAAUGUGAGGCCCAAGGGGUUUAAGUAGUGUGCCCAAGGCACAGAGCCGGGGGUGCCCCAGCAGGCCACUUGUGCACCUGUGGCUUUUGCCUUGGCCACUUUGCAGCACUGGCACAAGAGAGGCCCACGGGUUGAGCCUCCACACCACCAGCCACCCUUUGUCCCUCAGAAAGGGCUGGCAGAGCCUGCAGGUGAGGGUGAAUGUGGGGACGGGUGGGCAAUGGUCUGCCCUUCAUUUCUGUCAUGUUGUGGCUGCCACUGGGGAGAAAAUGCCAAAAAGCUUCCUGGAAGAAGCAGCUUCCAGGAGGCUUCACCAUAUCCUUGUCCUGCCAACUGGCCACGAACGGAUUGAAAGAUUCCCACUGAGUGAGAAGGCUCAGAAGCCACCACAGGGGAUGGCGGAGGUGGGAGAGGCAUGCACCUCGCACCGCAGGGCUCCAGGAGCCAGGCGAAGGACAGGCAUUGGGUGGGUCCUCCCAAGGUGCCCCCUUCUUUGUCUCCCUCUGUUGCUUUUCUCUCCUCUUCCCUCUUCUUCCCCCCACUUCCUCUUCACUUUUUCUUCUUCCUCUCUUUCCUUCCCCCAUGCCUUUCUCAACCUUGUUUCCACUUCUUGUCGCUCUUCUUCAGCAAAUGUCGAGGCAGUCAGUUCCUGGGCUGAGGCUGGGGGAUGGGAGGAAGUCCUGAGGGUAGCCCCCGCCCCCUCCCCUGCCCCGUCACUCCCUCUGCCCCGCCUGCACAGCUUCUCGCCACUUCAUUCCCGCCCCCACCGCCCCUACAGCCCGUAUAAGCCACCAGGUCGCUCCAGUUUGGUGCCAGCGCCUGGAGGGAGAGGCGUGGCGAGGGCUGUGCAGCCUAGGAUCCACUGAGUGGCUCUCGCUGGUGUCUCAACUGCGCACGAACCAGAGCUGGGAGGCUCGGCUGGAGGUGUGACCAGGGCAGGGACCGACCUGGCCCAGAACAGAAGCGCGCAGAGUCCCAUCCUGCCACGCCACGAGAAGAGAAGAAGGAAAGAUACAGUGUUAGCAAAGAGACCUCCCUAGCCCCUGCGCCCCUGCGCCCCCGCGCCCCCGCGCCCCCGCGUCCCCGCGCCUCGCUUCAGCCUCAGGACGGUCCUGCCGGGACGGUGAGCUCAUUCAGCACCCUGGACAGCACCGCGGUUGCGCUGCCUCCAGGGCGGCCCCGGGCUGCUCUUGCUCCGCAGAGCGACGCCCUCACCCCCACCCCCCCCACCUCCACCAUGUGCCCUGGACCCUGCACUUGCCGCCUCUUUCUUCGCGCUGCUCUGGGCCUUGCCGGCCGGCUCUGCACCUCCCGGAAGCCGUGGGCGCGCCGCUCAGCCACUCCAUCGCCGCACUUUCCCAGGCUCGCGCCCGAAGCAGAGCCAUGAGAACCCUAGGGUGCCUGGAGAGCUGCUAGCGCCAUGGACCCCGGCGAGGCGCUGCUGGCGGGUCUGCUGGUGAUGGUACUGGCCGUGGCGCUGCUAUCCAACGCACUGGUGCUGCUUUGUUGCGCCUACAGCGCUGAGCUCCGCACUCGCGCCUCGGGCGUCCUCCUGGUGAAUCUGUCGCUGGGCCACCUGCUGCUGGCGGCGCUGGACAUGCCCUUCACGCUGCUCGGUGUGAUGCGCGGGCGGACACCGUCGGCGCCCGGCGCAUGCCAAGCCAUUGGCUUCCUGGACACCUUCCUGGCGUCCAACGCGGCGCUGAGCGUGGCGGCGCUGAGCGCAGACCAGUGGCUGGCCGUGGGCUUCCCACUGCGCUACGCCGGACGCCUGCGACCGCGCUAUGCUGGCCUGCUGCUGGGCUGUGCCUGGGGACAGUCGCUGGCCUUCUCAGGCGCUGCACUUGGCUGCUCGUGGCUUGGCUACAGCAGCGCCUUCGCGUCCUGCACGCUGCGCCUGCCGCCUGAGCCUGAGCGUCAGCGCUUCGCAGCCUUCACCGCCACGCUCCAUGCCGUGGGCUUCGUGCUGCCGCUGGCGGUGCUCUGCCUCACCUCGCUCCAGGUGCACCGGGUGGCACGCAGCCACUGCCAGCGCAUGGACACCGUCACCAUGAAGGCGCUCGUGCUGCUCGCCGACCUGCACCCCAGUGUGCGGCAGCGCUGCCUCAUCCAGCAGAAGCGGCGCCGCCACCGCGCUACCAGGAAGAUUGGCAUCGCUAUUGCGACCUUCCUCAUCUGCUUUGCCCCGUAUGUCGUGACCAGGCUGGCGGAGCUCGUGCCCUUCGUCACCGUGAACGCCCACUGGGGCAUCCUCAGCAAGUGCCUGACCUACAGCAAGGCGGCGGCUGACCCGUUCACAUACUUUCUGCUCCGCCGGCCGUUCCGCCAAGUCCUGGCCGGCAUGGUGCACCGGCUGCUGAAGAGAACCCCGCGCCCAGCGUCCACCCAUAACAGCUCUCUGGAUGUGGCCGGCAUGGUGCAUCAGCUGCUGAAGAGAACCCCGCACCCAGCGUCCACCCACAACAGCUCUCUGGACACAGAGAAUGAUUCCUGCCUGCAGCAGACACACUGAGGGCCUGGCAGGGCUCAUCACCCCCACCUUCUAAGAAGCCCUGUGGAAAGGGCACUGGCCCUGCCACAGAGAUGCCACUGGGGAUCCCCAGACACUGGCGGCUUGACUUUGAGCUGAGGCUGAAGUACAGGAGGAGGAGGAGGAGGAGGAGGAGGAGAGAGCCGGAUGUGGGUGUGAACAGAAGGAGCGGCAGAGGAGAGCUCCGGGCUCGGCCACCUGGCCACUGGGUAGCCCCAGGACAGUGGCUUUUCCUCUCUGAGCCUCAGCUUCCUCACCCCUGUUCUGGAGUCAUGGCGAUGCUUCGAGACAGUGGGCGUGGAACUUGUAUCAUGACACCCUACUCCCAAGGCCAGCAAUGCAGGGAGAGUGUGGACAUCAAAUUCUUUCCUUCCAGAGGCUGAAUUCUUCAAAGACACAUGCGGCUGUCACUUGCUCUUGGCAUUAACAGUGGAGAACCCAGCUGAAGUGGCUUCACAGAUUCUUCCCCAAAAACACAGGUGUUAUUAUUAUGCUUUUAAAAAACUUUUUGAGGCAGGGUCUAACUCUGCUGCCCAGGCUAGAGUGCAGUGGUGCAGUCUCAGCUCACUGCAGCCUCUGCCUCCCAUGCUCAAGGCAUCCUCCCACCUCAGCCUCCUGAGUAGCUGAGGACACAGGCACGGGACACCAUGCCUGGCUAAUUUUUGUAUUUUUUUGUAGAGAUGGAGGCCUCACUUUGUGGCCCAGGCUGGUCUUGAAUUUCUGAUCUUAAGUGGUCCGCCCACCUCAGCCUCCCAAAGUGCUGGGAUUACAGGUGUGAGCCACCGCACCCAGCCAAAACCAGGUGUUAUUUGCUGACUCGCCAAUGCCUCCCCCAAAAGGAUAAAUUUAAAAGUGUGUGUAAUUCAAUUUAAAAGUGUGUGAAUUACACGAAGUGUAAUUCAAAUAAAACAAAUUAUCUUUUGGAAUAAUAGCAACUAUAGGUAUGUGGUCAGGAAGCAGUUAAAAACAUUAAAAUACAGACCUGGCCAGUUCAAUCAAGCCCAGGAGUUCCAGGCAGGAGGUGGCACAGGUGGGCGUCAUGCCCUGGUUCACAGAGGGCACAUGAACUCGAGACCCUGCUGCACCCCGGUGCCCCUGUGCCCCUGUGCUUACAAGGGAUGGCACUUGCACAGCAGAAGCAGGUUGGUCCCCAUUUAAAGCUCCAGAGCCCAGGCUGUGAGCUCCUUGGCUGAGCCCUCUCCUGUCCCUGGGAGGUCCCCAGGUGCGAGGAGCCUGCCAGCCAGUGGGGCCUACACUCUCUGUUAUUGCGUCUCUGCCAGGCUAAAAUCCUUGGUCACUACUUUAGAGCCACUCAAGGAAACGCGUGCACCCUGCCCUGCUGGAAGGCACCAUGGUUAGAGGGAGGCACACUGUUUCUUAGAGACAGGCACUGCUUGCUGUCAUGUUUCACCUCGGAAAGCUUCCUCGGAAGCUCCAUGGAAUGUUCUGGAGCAGGCAUCUUAGGGCAUUCCCUCCGCACUUCUCUGCCAGCCCAUGUGGCUCCCACACUGGGCUGUCCCUUGCCUUAGGCUUGUGGCCUUUUUUUUUUUUUUAAUUUGAAAAAUAUUUUUCAUGUGCACUUAGACGUGUUGCAGAAUG
Pongo pygmaeus (Bornean orangutan) is the source of this 4854-nucleotide RNA transcript. It is a transcript of the gene named G protein-coupled receptor 78, with no coding region annotated. The record is from RefSeq and is a predicted model, not a curated record. Lineage: Eukaryota; Metazoa; Chordata; Mammalia; Primates; Hominidae. The transcript is spliced from 4 exons.